GAAGCACUGAGGGGAGCCGAAGCUCCCCUCAAAGCGUUGUUGCCUGCUCUUUUCUUAUUAUUGAGACCGGCCUUUUAUUGUUUUUGUAGGCUAGCCUUGAUGUCGCGUGCGACCCCCAUCCGGGGUCAAGAGCAAACGUAUUUUUUUGAGCGCUGACCUGCUUUCAUCCUGUGGAUCCGAGCCUGACUGCCGCUACCUUCAGGUAGUU
This 208-nucleotide non-coding RNA is filed under the name Pseudomonas sp. URMO17WK12:I7. The record is from RNAcentral. RNAcentral also lists the same sequence under 1 other name. Lineage: Bacteria; Pseudomonadati; Pseudomonadota; Gammaproteobacteria; Pseudomonadales; Pseudomonadaceae.